RNAcentral lists this ribosomal RNA (382 nucleotides) under uncultured eukaryote. RNAcentral's name for it is "partial 18S ribosomal RNA". It matches the Rfam family "Eukaryotic small subunit ribosomal RNA", at positions 592 to 976 of the family's 1831-position model. The record is from RNAcentral.
UGUAAGCGUAUACCAAAGUUGUUGCAGUUAAAACGCUCGUAGUCGGAAUUUGGCAGUUCCGGAAGUGUGCACGUCGUGUGCGCACUUUGCGGGGACUGCUUUUGUGGUCUUGCGUAGGAUGAGGCACUUUCAUUAGUGAACGUCCUCACGCAACCACUCUUUACUGUGAGAAAAUCAGAGUGCUCAAAGCAGGCAUCUGCCGUGAAUGUAUUAGCAUGGAAUAAUAGAAUAGGACUCGGUUCUAUUUUGUUGGUUUGUUGGGACUGAGUAAUGAUUAAGAGGGACAGUUGGGGGCAUUUGUAUUCCGGCGCUAGAGGUGAAAUUCUUAGAUUGCCGGAAGACAAACUGCUGCGAAAGCGUCUGCCAAGGAUGUUUUCAUUGA